GGCCGCAAGGCUAAAACUCAAAGGAAUUGACGGGUCCCCGCACAAGCGGCGGAGCAUGCGGCUUAAUUCGAUGCAACCCGAAGAACCUUACCUAGGUUUGACAUUAUGGGAAAAGCCAUGGAAACAUGGUGUGCGGGAGCGUCCAUAACAGGUGGUGCAUGGCUGUCGUCAGCUCGUGUCGUGAGAUGUUGGGUUAAGUCCCGCAACGAGCGCAACCCUCGUCCUAUGUUGCCAGCGGGUAACGCCGGGGACUCAUAGGAGACCGCCGGGGACAACUCGGAGGAAGGUGAGGAUGACGUCAAGUCAGCAUGCCCCUUACACCUAGGGCUGCACGCAUGCUACAAUGGUCGGUACAACGGGCAGCGAUCCCGCGAGGGUGAGCGAAUCCCUCAAAGCCGGCCCUAGUUCGGAUUGGAGUCUGCAACUCGACUCCAUGAAGCCGGAGUCGCUAGUAAUCGCGGAUCAGCAAAGCCGCGGUGAAUACGUUCUCGGGGAUUGUACACACCGCCCGUCACGUCACGAAAGUCGGCAACGCCCGAAGUCAGUGGCCUAACCCUUUAGGGAAGGAGCUGCCGAAGGUGGGGUCGGUGAUUGGGACGAAGUCGUAACAAGGUAGCCGUACGGGAACGUGCGGCUGGAUCACCUCCUUUCUAAGGAGCA
This 660-nucleotide ribosomal RNA is filed under the name Acidimicrobiia bacterium. RNAcentral describes it as "bacterial SSU rRNA". It matches the Rfam family "Bacterial small subunit ribosomal RNA", at positions 884 to 1533 of the family's 1533-position model. The record is from RNAcentral. Lineage: Bacteria; Bacillati; Actinomycetota; Acidimicrobiia.